UACAGAGGGUGCAAGCGUUGUUCGGAAUUAUUGGGCGUAAAGGGCGCGUAGGCGGUUCGGCAAGUCUCUAGUGAAAUCUCAGGGCUCAACUCUGAGUCUGCUGGGGAAACUGCCGGGCUUGAGUGUGGGAGAGGAGAGUGGAAUUUCCGGUGUAGCGGUGAAAUGCGUAGAUAUCGGAAGGAACAUCAGUGGCGAAAGCGACUUCCUGGACCAGUACCGACGUUCAGGCACGAAAGCGUGGGGAGCAAACAGG
Molecule: ribosomal RNA, 253 nt
Filed under: uncultured bacterium
Lineage: Bacteria
Description: partial 16S ribosomal RNA
Rfam family: Bacterial small subunit ribosomal RNA
Source: RNAcentral